Molecule: ribosomal RNA, 538 nt
Filed under: uncultured bacterium
Lineage: Bacteria
Description: bacterial SSU rRNA
Rfam family: Bacterial small subunit ribosomal RNA
Source: RNAcentral
AGAGUUUGAUCCUGGCUCAGAAUCAACGCUGGCGGCGCGCUUAACACAUGCAAGUCGCACGAGAAAGGGGAGCAAUCCCUGAUCGAGUGGCAAACGGGUGAGUAACACGUGGGUGACCUACCUUCGAGUGGGGGAUAACGUCCCGAAAGGGACGCUAAUACCGCAUGACAUCCUGCUUUUGGAAAAGCGGACAUUAAAGCUGGGGAUCGCAAGACCUGGCGCUUGAAGAGGGGCCCGCGCCUGAUUAGCUAGUUGGUGAGGUAACGGCUCACCAAGGUUACGAUCAGUAUCCGGCCUGAGAGGGCGGACGGACACACUGGGACUGAGACACGGCCCAGACUCCUACGGGAGGCAGCAGUGGGGAAUUGUUCGCAAUGGGCGAAAGCCUGACGACGCAACGCCGCGUGGAGGACGAAGAUCUUCGGGUCGUAAACUCCCGUCGAGCGGGAAGAACGCUUCCUGGAUAAAUAUUCCGGGAAAUUGACGGUACCGCUAAAGGAAGCCCCGGCUAACUCCGUGCCAGCAGCCGCGGUAAUAC